GACGAACGCUGGCGGCGUGCUUAACACAUGCAAGUCGAACGGAAAGGCCCUGCUCUUGCGGGGUGCUCGAGUGGCGAACGCGUGAGUAACACGUGAGUAACCUGCCCUUGACUUUGGGAUAUCUUCAGGAAACUGGGGCUCAUACCGGAUAGGAGCUCUUGCUGCAUGGUGGGGGUUGGAAAGUUUCGGCGGUUGGGGAUGGACUCGCGGCUUAUCCGCUUGUUGGUGGGGUAGUGGCUUACCAAGGUUUUGACGGGUAGCCGGCCUGAGAGUGUGACCGGCCACAUUGGGACUGAGAUACGGCCCAGACUCCUACGGGAGGCAGCAGUGGGGAAUAUUGCACAACGGGCGGGAGCCAGAUGCAGCAGCGCCGCGUGCGUAAUGACGGCCUUCGGGUGGUAAACCGCUUUCGCAGGAGACAAAGCGUGAGUGACGGUAAUGGGUAAAGAAGCACCGGCUAACUACGUG
RNAcentral lists this ribosomal RNA (468 nucleotides) under uncultured bacterium. RNAcentral describes it as "partial 16S ribosomal RNA". It matches the Rfam family "Bacterial small subunit ribosomal RNA", at positions 28 to 507 of the family's 1533-position model. The record is from RNAcentral.